Molecule: ribosomal RNA, 439 nt
Filed under: uncultured bacterium
Lineage: Bacteria
Description: bacterial SSU rRNA
Rfam family: Bacterial small subunit ribosomal RNA
Source: RNAcentral
UACGGGAGGCAGCAGUGGGGAAUAUUGCACAAUGGGCGCAAGCCUGAUGCAGCCAUGCCGCGUGUAUGAAAAAGGCCUUCGGGUUGUAAAGUACUUUCAGUCGUGAGGAAGGUGUUAAGGUUAAUAACCUUAGCAAUUGACGUUAGCGACAGAAGAAGCACCGGCUAACUCCGUGCCAGCAGCCGCGGUAAUACGGAGGGUGCGAGCGUUAAUCGGAAUUACUGGGCGUAAAGGGCACGCAGGCGGUUAAUUAAGUUGGAUGUGAAAUCCCCGGGCUUAACCUGGGAAUGGCAUUCAAGACUGGUUAGCUAGAGUCUUGUAGAGGGGGUUAGAAUUCCAUGUGUAGCGGUGAAAUGCGUAGAGAUGUGGAGGAAUACCGGUGCGAAGGCGGCCCCUGGACAAAGACUGACGCUCAUGUGCGAAAGCGUGGGGAGCAAAC